ACAGAUUAGACAUUAUAUUUUUUUUUAAAUGAACCAAUAUUCUUUAAAAUUAUAUAUUUAUGAUCUCAAAAAUAUAAUUAAUUAUUUUAAUAAUAUUGAUAUUUUGCCAUGGCAAAAUAAUUUUUUAAACUAAUAUUUAUUUAUUCAGUAUUUUGUAUUAUAAAAUUUAUAUGUUUUGAAUUCCUCUAUACCUUAUUGAUAUAAUGCCUAAUCUGACAGACCAUUCCCCAUCAGCAAAGACAGACAAAACAAUUCUUCAACAAUUGAAUCUAGAAUUUUAAGAGACAAAUUUAAAAAAUUUUUAAACUCUUAAUUAUUUUUUUAUAUAUUAUUGUUAAUUAUAUCAAAUAUGUAAUUGAUUUUGUUAUUAUUUAGAAUAUUACCUAAUAAAUAUAUUUAUAUAAUAAAAUAUAA
Molecule: long non-coding RNA, 414 nt
Organism: Gordionus sp. m RMFG-2023
Lineage: Eukaryota; Metazoa; Nematomorpha; Gordioida; Chordodea; Parachordodidae
Exons: 2
Source: RefSeq, a predicted model, not a curated record